Molecule: transfer RNA, 60 nt
Filed under: Colpocephalum spinicollis
Lineage: Eukaryota; Metazoa; Arthropoda; Insecta; Psocodea; Menoponidae
Description: tRNA-Val
Source: RNAcentral
CGGGAUUUAGUUUAUAAAGAACAUUUUACUUACACUAAAACAGAAUGUAUUUAAUCCUGU